UACGGAGGGGGCUAGCGUUGUUCGGAAUUACUGGGCGUAAAGCGCGCGUAGGCGGCCUGUCAAGUCGGGGGUGAAAGCCCGGGGCUCAACCCCGGAAUUGCCUCCGAUACUGGCAGGCUGGAGUACGGGAGAGGAGAGUGGAAUUCCCAGUGUAGAGGUGAAAUUCGUAGAUAUUGGGAAGAACACCGGUGGCGAAGGCGGCUCUCUGGACCGUUACUGACGCUGAGGCGCGAAAGCGUGGGGAGCAAACAGG
This 253-nucleotide unclassified non-coding RNA is filed under the name uncultured Alphaproteobacteria bacterium. RNAcentral describes it as "contains 16S-23S intergenic spacer region". It matches the Rfam family "Bacterial small subunit ribosomal RNA", at positions 524 to 776 of the family's 1533-position model. Lineage: Bacteria; Pseudomonadati; Pseudomonadota; Alphaproteobacteria. The record is from RNAcentral.